This 649-nucleotide ribosomal RNA is filed under the name uncultured bacterium. RNAcentral describes it as "bacterial SSU rRNA". It matches the Rfam family "Bacterial small subunit ribosomal RNA", at positions 93 to 740 of the family's 1533-position model. The record is from RNAcentral.
GACCGGCAAACGGGUGCGGAACACGUACGCAACCAUCCCAAAACUGGUGAAUAGCCCUCCGAAAGGAGGAUUAAUACACCGUAACAUAAUGAAGUGGCAUCACUUUAUUAUUAUAGCUCCGGCGGUUUUGGAUGGGCGUGCGCCUGAUUAGGUAGUUGGCGGGGUAACGGCCCACCAAGCCUGCGAUCAGUAACUGGUGUGAGAGCACGACCAGUCACACGGGCACUGAGACACGGGCCCGACUCCUACGGGAGGCAGCAGUAAGGAAUAUUGGUCAAUGGACGAAAGUCUGAACCAGCCAUGCCGCGUGAAGGAUGAAGGUCCUCUGGAUUGUAAACUUCUUUUAUCUGGGACGAAAAAAGGGAAUUCUUUCCCACUUGACGGUACCAGAGGAAUAAGCACCGGCUAACUCCGUGCCAGCAGCCGCGGUAAUACGGAGGGUGCAAGCGUUAUCCGGAUUUACUGGGUUUAAAGGGUGCGUAGGUGGGCAGUUAAGUCAGUGGUGAAAUCUCCGAGCUUAACUCGGAAACUGCCAUUGAUACUAUCUGUCUUGAAUAUCCUGGAGGUGAGCGGAAUAUGUCAUGUAGCGGUGAAAUGCUUAGAUAUGACAUAGAACACCAAUUGCGAAGGCAGCUCACUACGGGAUUAU